GCGCUCGUGGCGAAACCUUCGGUAGACGCGCCUGGCUCAAACCCAGGUGCCGGUAACUCCGGCGUGCAGGUUCAAAUCCUGCCGAGCGCA
RNAcentral lists this transfer RNA (90 nucleotides) under Mycobacterium talmoniae. It matches the Rfam family "tRNA". From Rfam's summary of the family: Transfer RNA (tRNA) molecules are approximately 80 nucleotides in length. Their secondary structure includes four short double-helical elements and three loops (D, anti-codon, and T loops). Further hydrogen bonds mediate the characteristic L-shaped molecular structure. tRNAs have two regions of fundamental functional importance: the anti-codon, which is responsible for specific mRNA codon recognition, and the 3' end, to which the tRNAs corresponding amino acid is attached (by aminoacyl-tRNA synthetases). tRNAs cope with the degeneracy of the genetic code in two manners: having more than one tRNA (with a specific anti-codon) for a particular amino acid; and 'wobble' base-pairing, i.e. permitting non-standard base-pairing at the 3rd anti-codon position. RNAcentral also lists the same sequence under 1 other name. Lineage: Bacteria; Bacillati; Actinomycetota; Actinomycetes; Mycobacteriales; Mycobacteriaceae. The record is from Rfam by way of RNAcentral.